GCAAGGUUUUUAGCUGACCCGUACUAAUCCCCAACAUGAG
Molecule: ribosomal RNA, 40 nt
Filed under: Pelvetia canaliculata
Lineage: Eukaryota; Phaeophyceae; Fucales; Fucaceae
Description: partial 23S ribosomal RNA
Source: RNAcentral